Molecule: transfer RNA, 71 nt
Filed under: Candidatus Iainarchaeum sp.
Lineage: Archaea; Nanobdellati; Candidatus Iainarchaeota; Candidatus Iainarchaeia; Candidatus Iainarchaeales; Candidatus Iainarchaeaceae
Description: tRNA-Gly
Rfam family: tRNA
About the family: Transfer RNA (tRNA) molecules are approximately 80 nucleotides in length.
Source: RNAcentral
GCAGCGAUGGGAUAAUGGCAUUCUACGACCUUCCCAAGGUCGUGACCCGGGUUCGAUUCCCGGUCGCUGCA